RNAcentral lists this ribosomal RNA (251 nucleotides) under uncultured prokaryote. RNAcentral describes it as "partial 16S ribosomal RNA". It matches the Rfam family "Bacterial small subunit ribosomal RNA", at positions 525 to 775 of the family's 1533-position model. The record is from RNAcentral.
ACGUAGGUGGCAAGCGUUGUCCGGAUUUAUUGGGUUUAAAGGGUGCGUAGGUUGUUUUGUAAGUCAGUGGUGAAAUCCGGCAGCUUAACUGUCGAUGUGCCAUUGAUACUGCAGAACUUGAGUACAGACGAGGUAGGCGGAAUUGACGGUGUAGCGGUGAAAUGCUUAGAUAUCGUCAAGAACACCGAUAGCGAAGGCAGCUUACUAGACUGUAACUGACACUGAUGCACGAAAGUGUGGGGAUCAAACAG